AGUGAACGCUGGCGGUAGGCCUAACACAUGCAAGUCGAACGGCAGCACAGUAAGAGCUUGCUCUUACGGGUGGCGAGUGGCGGACGGGUGAGGAAUACAUCGGAAUCUACUUUUUCGUGGGGGAUAACGUAGGGAAACUUACGCUAAUACCGCAUACGACCUACGGGUGAAAGCAGGGGAUCUUCGGACCUUGCGCGAUUGAAUGAGCCGAUGUCGGAUUAGCUAGUUGGCGGGGUAAAGGCCCACCAAGGCGACGAUCCGUAGCUGGUCUGAGAGGAUGAUCCGCCACACUGGAACUGAGACACGGCCCAGACCCCUAGGGGAGGCAGCGGUGGGGAAUAUUGGACAAUGGGCGCAAGCCUGAUUCAGCCAUACCGCGUGGGUGAAGAAGGCCUUCGGGUUGUAAAGCCUUUUUGUGGGGAAAAAAAAGCAGCAGGUUAAUACCCCGCUGUUCUGGCGGUACCAAAAGAAUAAGCACCGGCUAACUUCGU
This 491-nucleotide ribosomal RNA is filed under the name uncultured bacterium. Its description in RNAcentral is "partial 16S ribosomal RNA". It matches the Rfam family "Bacterial small subunit ribosomal RNA", at positions 29 to 506 of the family's 1533-position model. The record is from RNAcentral.